This 72-nucleotide transfer RNA is filed under the name Dictyocaulus viviparus (bovine lungworm). It matches the Rfam family "tRNA". Rfam says of the family: Transfer RNA (tRNA) molecules are approximately 80 nucleotides in length. Their secondary structure includes four short double-helical elements and three loops (D, anti-codon, and T loops). Lineage: Eukaryota; Metazoa; Nematoda; Chromadorea; Rhabditida; Metastrongylidae. The record is from Rfam by way of RNAcentral.
GCCUCGGUAGUGUUAUGGAAGGCACGGCAGGCCGGAUAUCUGUAAGUGCGGGUACGAGUCCCGCCUGACGUU